GCGUCGGUGGCUCAGUGGUUAAGCACUUGACUUGCAAUCUACAGGUCCUGGGUUCGAAUCCCCCCCAUGUA
Non-coding RNA from Papilio xuthus (Asian swallowtail), 71 nucleotides. Lineage: Eukaryota; Metazoa; Arthropoda; Insecta; Lepidoptera; Papilionidae. The record is from Rfam.